This 497-nucleotide ribosomal RNA is filed under the name uncultured bacterium. Its description in RNAcentral is "partial 16S ribosomal RNA". It matches the Rfam family "Bacterial small subunit ribosomal RNA", at positions 28 to 507 of the family's 1533-position model. The record is from RNAcentral.
GAUGAACGCUGGCGGCGUGCCUAAUACAUGCAAGUCGAGCGAACAGACGAGGAGCUUGCUCCUCUGACGUUAGCGGCGGACGGGUGAGUAACACGUGGAUAACCUACCUAUAAGACUGGGAUAACUUCGGGAAACCGGAGCUAAUACCGGAUAAUAUAUUGAACCGCAUGGUUCAAUAGUGAAAGACGGUUUUGCUGUCACUUAUAGAUGGAUCCGCGCCGCAUUAGCUAGUUGGUAAGGUAACGGCUUACCAAGGCGACGAUGCGUAGCCGACCUGAGAGGGUGAUCGGCCACACGGGAACUGAGACACGGUCCAGACUCCUACGAGAGGCAGCAGUAGGGAAUCUUCCGCAAUGGGCGAAAGCCUGACGGAGCAACGCCGCGUGAGUGAUGAAGGUCUUCGGAUCGUAAAACUCUGUUAUUAGGGAAGAACAAAUGUGUAAGUAACUAUGCACGUCUUGACGGUACCUAAUCAGAAAGCCACGGCUAACUACGUG